RNAcentral lists this non-coding RNA (45 nucleotides) under Trichobilharzia regenti. The record is from RNAcentral. Lineage: Eukaryota; Metazoa; Platyhelminthes; Trematoda; Strigeidida; Schistosomatidae.
AUCAAGCUGACGAGUCCCAAAUAGGACGAAAUGCGCAUCCUAGAU